Molecule: ribosomal RNA, 1681 nt
Filed under: human oral metagenome
Description: bacterial LSU rRNA
Rfam family: Bacterial large subunit ribosomal RNA
Source: RNAcentral
CAAUCGAACGUGGAGAUAGCUGGUUCUCCCCGAAAUAGCUUUAGGGCUAGCCUCAUGAAAAGAGUACAGGCGGUAGAGCACUGAACAGGGAAGGGGCCGAGCGGUUACCGAACCUAAUCAAACUACGAAUGGCUGUACUUAUGCAUGGGAGUCAGACUGCGAGUGAUAAGACCCGUAGUCAAGAGGGAAACAGCCCAGACCAACAGCUAAGGUCCCGAAUGCCGUACUAAGUGGCAAAGGAGGUGGCGUUUCGAAAACAACCAGGAUGUUGGCUCAGAAGCAGCCAUCAUUAAAAGAGUGCGUAAUAGCUCACUGGUCGAGAGACGCGGCGCCGAAGAUGACCGGGGCUGAAGUACGGAACCGAAGCUUUGGCAUGUAUGGAGACAUACAUGGGUAGGGGAGCGUUCCUGCGUGGGAGAAGCCUGACCGGAAGGACAGGUGGACAGGCAGGAAGCGAGAAUGCCGGUAUGAGUAGCGAAAAGAAAGGUGGGAAUCCUUUCCACCGAAAGCCUAAGGGUUCCUGGGCAACGAUCGUCGACCCAGGGUAAGUCGGGGCCUAAUCCGAGGCGCAGACGCAUAGGAGAUGGACAACAGGUUGAAAUUCCUGUACCGACACCGUCCGAUAGAGCGAGGGAGUGACACAAGAAGGAACGUUCGCAUGCGAAUGGAAGAGCAUGUCCAAGCCGGUAGGUGGCGUAUCAGGCAAAUCCGGUACGCCGAAAGCCGAGAGGUGAUGGGGAGGCUGUAGAGAUACAGAGGAAGGAACGGGGACUCAAUUGUCAAGAAAAGCUUCUAGCGAGGACGGUGGCGCCCGUACCGAAACCGACACAGGUAGGCAGGACGAGAAUUCUAAGGUGCGCGGGAAACCCCUCGUUAAGGAACUCGGCAAAAUGUAUCCGUAACUUCGGGAAAAGGAUAACCCAGAGUAGGUGAAGGGCAGAAACGGCCGGAGCCGAAAUGGGUGGCACAAGAGAGGCCCAAGCGACUGUUUAGCACAAACACAGGCGUCUGCGAAAGAGAAAUCUGAAGUAUAGAUGCUGACACCUGCCCGGUGCUGGAAGGUUAAGAGGACGUGUGAGCCGCAAGGCGAAGCAGAGAAUUGAAGCCCCAGUAAACGGCGGCCGUAACUAUAACGGUCCUAAGGUAGCGAAAUUCCUUGUCGGGUAAGUUCCGACCCGCACGAAAGGUGUAACGACUUGCGCACUGUCUCAACGAGGGACCCGGUGAAAUUGAAGUACCUGUGAAGAUGCAGGUUACCCGCGACUGGACAGAAAGACCCCAUGGAGCUUUACUGCAACCUAAGAUUGAACUUAGUUAAUGAAUGUACAGGAUAGGUGGGAGACGUAGAACCUAGGACGCUAGUUUUAGGGGAGUCGCUGUUGGGAUACCACCCUUUCAUUAAUUGAUUUCUAACGGGCCGAGUAACGACCGGCCGGACAGUCUUAGGCGGGCAGUUUGACUGGGGCGGUCGCCUCCAAAAGAGUAACGGAGGCGCCCAAAGGUUCCCUCAGAGCGGACGGAAAUCGCUCGAAGAGUGUAAAGGCAGAAGGGAGCUUGACUGCGAGACGGACAGGUCGAGCAGGGACGAAAGUCGGGCUUAGUGAUCCGGUGGUGCCGAGUGGAAGGGCCAUCGCUCAACGGAUAAAAGCUACCCUGGGGAUAACAGGCUAAUCUCUCCCAA